AUCCUCAGGAAAAAAGCUUGAAGGGACAAUGUCCGAAUCGCUUGGGGCAGCUCCGUCAACUGGCCUUCCGGUCAUGCCUUUGGCCCAUACGGCCCGAUUGCGAUCCGCCACCGUUGUGGAACUGGAAAUCCAGCGGCUGGUCCAGCUGACACCGAGCUGCGUUGCCCACUUACCCGAGGUCCUCUACCGUGUCACGACGGACAGCAUCAUAUCAAAUAUGAUUGAUCCAGUGAAAGCCCUGGCAUCCUUUUUUCCGCCAGCAUCCGCUUCACCCCCAACACGGCUCAAUUGGACGACGACCUCUACGACACGCUGGAGAGUCUGAUUGAAUUCAUCGAUCACGGUCGUUUCCGGCGUUCUUCCGUUACCGAAUGGUGGCCACUUCGUCCAGCUGCGGAGUUAUCCAGUGCGUUUCCAACCCGAAAUCCUGCGACUAGCUCGGCCGCUAAACAGAUGUCAGCAACUUCAACGACUAUUUCAUCAACAAAUACGGUGACGAGGUUACAUGAGUUCCAGACAGUCAGGCGCAAUAUAACACGCUCCACGGCUGCCUACUCUCUGGUCGGUUUCUUCCUACAGAUCAAGGAUCGCCACUAUGGCAACACAUGAUCGAAGGCUAUAAGGGCAUCACAUUAUUCACAUCGAUUUUGGCAUCAUGUUUGAAGUUCCCCCGGUGGCAAUUUAGGUGAUCCCAGGCCCAGUUUCAUGAAAUUUGUCAAUUUUUCGACAUUUUUAAAAGUUGCCUUUCCGAUACAUUUUCAAAUUUCAAUUUUUCCAUCAGGAUUCGAUGUAUCGCGAGGUCCAUCAUUGUGUCUCUUGUCUGGUUGAUGCCCGACACCCGACAGCCCCGCUUACGGGAGGAGACCCUCAUGUUCCUGUAGUCCCGUUUCUUGCACAUGGACGACCGCGAAGCCGCCAACCAGCAAACCACAAUCAACAUUGUCCGCUCGUUGUUACUCAACAUCCUUACCAGAACCUAAACGUCAGGAAAUUAUAUGAUUUGAAGGACUCAUUUGCUUUACUUGUAAAUUGAUAGAGCAUAUAGGUUUUUUUUUAAUGUAAUGUGUUUCACUAUUCCCUGUUGUACGUCGUUUGUUGAGUCUGAUUUGAUAAGUCAAUAGAAACAAGCCUU
Long non-coding RNA from Daphnia pulicaria, 1132 nucleotides. RefSeq lists it as uncharacterized. The transcript has 4 exons. The record is from RefSeq and is a predicted model, not a curated record. Lineage: Eukaryota; Metazoa; Arthropoda; Branchiopoda; Diplostraca; Daphniidae.